GUCUUUUUGGUAAUAAUUUAAAGUCUAAUCUGCCCACUGAUAAAAUUAAAGGGCUGCAGUAAUUUGACUGUACAAAGGUAGCAUAAUCAUUUGUUUUUUAAUUGAAAACUUGUAUGAAAGAUUUGAUGAAAUAUAAACUGUCUCAUAUUUAUUAUUAAAAAUUUAUUUUUUAGUUAAAAAGCUAAAAUAUUUAUAAAAGACGAGAAGACCCUAUAGAGUUUUAUAUUUUUUCAAAUUUUAAAAUUAUAAAAAAUUUAAAAUUAAGAUUGGGUAAAAUAUUAUAUUGGGGUGAUAGAAAAAUUAAAUUAACUUUUUUUUUAAGGAUUAAUAUUAAUAAAUAGGUAAAUGAUCCAUAAAUAAUGAUUAAAAGAAGAAAUUACCUUAGGGAUAACAGCGUAAUAUUUUUUUUUAGUGCAAAUAAAAAAAAAAGUUUGCGACCUCGAUGUUGGAUUAAGAUAAAAUUUAAAUGCAAAAGUUUAAAAUUUUGAUCUGUUCGAUCAUUAAAAUCUU
RNAcentral lists this ribosomal RNA (510 nucleotides) under Ypthima sp. MY-2014. RNAcentral describes it as "partial 16S ribosomal RNA". The record is from RNAcentral. Lineage: Eukaryota; Metazoa; Arthropoda; Insecta; Lepidoptera; Nymphalidae.